This 217-nucleotide long non-coding RNA is filed under the name Elaeis guineensis (African oil palm). RNAcentral's name for it is "long non-coding RNA (EGUI_LNC048294)". Lineage: Eukaryota; Viridiplantae; Streptophyta; Magnoliopsida; Arecales; Arecaceae. The record is from RNAcentral.
UCUCUUCUCAAAAUUAAUUAAAUCUUCUAAAUUAUUAGGUCUCUAAAAUGAACUGGUUAUGGUGAUGAUUAGAUCAUAGCCUCCCAUUAAGAUGAAUGAUAAUGGAUCCAUUAUUUCUAAUUGAUAUUGUAGGCGCUAUCCGUCUGGUGUUCUCUCUGAACGAUGGAAUUAUCAUUUAUCAUAUGAUGACUCUGUCAAACUAUCUGAUGGUGGUUGG